CUUUUUGGUGGGGUGGAUGAUUGAACUUGUCUCGUUCUGGAUGUGAAAGAAUAAGAACUGAACUUGCUGCUAAUCCCAUAUCUUCCUCAGGGAUAUACAAGAGGUAAUUGUAAUCCAAGAUGUCUGAAAAAUUAGUCGAGGAGAUGGAGGAGGAAGAAGAAGCUGCACCUGAAGU
Xiphias gladius (swordfish) is the source of this 175-nucleotide long non-coding RNA. RefSeq lists it as uncharacterized. Lineage: Eukaryota; Metazoa; Chordata; Actinopteri; Istiophoriformes; Xiphiidae. The transcript is spliced from 4 exons. The record is from RefSeq and is a predicted model, not a curated record.